This 61-nucleotide microRNA precursor is filed under the name Eptatretus burgeri (inshore hagfish). Its description in RNAcentral is "Ebu-Mir-196-P6_pre stem-loop". Lineage: Eukaryota; Metazoa; Chordata; Myxini; Myxiniformes; Myxinidae. The record is from RNAcentral.
UAGGUAGUUUCAUGUUGUUGGGGGUAUUUAUGGGACACUCAGCAACGUGGAACUGCCAAGA